RNAcentral lists this ribosomal RNA (360 nucleotides) under Triticum aestivum (bread wheat). Its description in RNAcentral is "partial small subunit ribosomal RNA". The record is from RNAcentral. Lineage: Eukaryota; Viridiplantae; Streptophyta; Magnoliopsida; Poales; Poaceae.
AUGGAGAGGGAGUGGCCCCGCAGGCGCGGAAGAAGAGCAGCAGGCUCGGGCAUGGGCGCACAUAGGAGCGGGCAUGUGCCACGGGGUCAAUCCGAGGAGCUCCGUGGCUACCCCUGCAAUGGCCAUGGCGGACGGCGGUUCUCGGCCACGGCGAAAUACCUAACGAGAGAAAACGAGAGGGGAAACAAGGGAAAGGCAAGAGGAGAUCACGACGGUGUCAAUGGCGCCCUAGGGGAGGACAGGGGAGCUCAGGGCGGCGCGGAUCGAACGGCAAUGUUACGGUGGCCGAAGGUUGAGGAAGACGGCAGGGACGUCGAUGCGGGGGUGCUGGACUUGAUCUCGUUGGCGCAGACGAAGUAG